UGCAGCAGCAGCAGCAGCACCGGGACCAGCUACAACAUCUUGGAGUGGAAGGGGCCGUCUAUGUGCUGGAGUUAACAGUGGCUGCAACGCUCUGACAUCCACGUUGACAUUAUACAGCAAUCUUACACAACCACACAGAUUCUUUUGCCGGAGUCCGAAGUUUCAUCUAUGGACGCAGCACCACAAACCAGCUGAUUGAAUCGUGGUGGGGGAUCCUGAGGAAACAAAGUGCACAGUUUUGGAUCAACGUUUUCCAAACCCUCUAAGAUGACGGCUACUUCUCUGGUGAUUUCUUGGAUAGGAGCCUGAUCCAAUUCUGCUUCCUAAACCUUGUUCAGGAUGAACUUGACGAAGUCGUGAGAACCUGGAAUUCACACAAGAUAAGAGCAAAGGCAGCUGAUGGUGUGAUUGGAGGUCGGCGGAUUUUGAUGUACACACUUCCAGGCAUGUUCGGCGCAGAGGACAAUCUCAAGCCCAUACACAUGAAUGAAUUGGCCCUUUGUAGGGAGGAGUGCACCCCCAAAAGCCAAUAUACAUGUGAUGAAACUGUAUUUGAUCUCUGCUGUCUUCUGAUGCAGGAAAAGGGAUGGGAUCCUCCUACAGAUGCAUUUUCCGCUGCUGAACUGUACACCUUAUUAAGAACUGAAAUACUGCAAAGUGUCUGAGGGUGGACAAUUCUCUCUGCACAAAGAAGAAUCAUUUGUACUGUACAAUACAGGACUGUCUCAGAAAAUUAGAAUAUUGUGAUAAAGUCCUUUUAUUUUCUGUAAUGCAAAAAUGUCAUACAUUCUGGAUUCAUUACAAAUCAACGGAAAUAUUGCAAGCCAUUUAUUAUUUUAAUAUUGCUGAUCAUGGCUUACAGCUUAAGAA
Cololabis saira (Pacific saury) is the source of this 870-nucleotide long non-coding RNA. RefSeq lists it as uncharacterized. NCBI's taxonomy places the organism in Eukaryota, Metazoa, Chordata, Actinopteri, Beloniformes, Belonidae. The record is from RefSeq and is a predicted model, not a curated record. The transcript is spliced from 4 exons.